GUGGAUCCAGGACUGGAAGGAGGAAACAGGGAUACUUUGACUCUCAUGGACAGACUCUGAGGUCUUGUUUUACUACAACAAACUUUUGUCGUAAAAAACGAUUUAAAAGAAUGAAAUAAUCGACUUUUUAGAGGUUAACUAAACCUCACUUUAAAAGUAAACUGUAUUGUAUUGUAUUGUGACUUUAAACGCAAUAUAACAUCGGCUAUAUAUACUGUAUAUUGUGUGAAUUUGGUUCUUGACAUUUCACCUACUUUUCUUUUAAAACUACAACAGCGCCCUCGGGUGUUCAGUACAGAGAACUCGGUGGAUACAUUUACAUUCAAAUUACAAUUUCAGUCUGACA
Long non-coding RNA from Cynoglossus semilaevis (tongue sole), 346 nucleotides. RefSeq lists it as uncharacterized. Lineage: Eukaryota; Metazoa; Chordata; Actinopteri; Pleuronectiformes; Cynoglossidae. The transcript has 2 exons. The record is from RefSeq and is a predicted model, not a curated record.